RNAcentral lists this ribosomal RNA (163 nucleotides) under uncultured bacterium. RNAcentral describes it as "partial 16S ribosomal RNA". It matches the Rfam family "Bacterial small subunit ribosomal RNA", at positions 355 to 509 of the family's 1533-position model. The record is from RNAcentral.
UAGGGAAUUUUCGUCAAUGGGCGCAAGCCUGAACGAGCAAUGCCGCGUGAGUGAGGAAGGUCUUCGGAUCGUAAAGCUCUGUUGGCGGGGGAAAAAGGAAGCAGAAAGGAAAUGGUCUGCUUUUGAUGGUACCCCGCCAGAAAGUCACGGCUAACUACGUGCC